GAGAAGGCUGAAGCGGCGGAGUAGGGUAAGAAAGAGAGCGCUGAUGAUGAAGGUUAGAAAAUUGGUCUUGAGAGUACGGAACUUGAUUUGGAUGAUGAGGAGGAUGAUAAGGAUGAUGAAAUGGCGCGUUCUGGAGUGGGUAAGAGAAAGGACCAGUGGGAGGUGGGUAAGAAGAAGAAGGAGGCGGAAAUGGAGGUGAAUUCAUGAGGGUAGGGUUUUGGGAGGUCGGCGUAGGGUUUGAAAUGGCGGGUUUAAAGAAUUUCUGAACAUCAAAUGGUGGGUUCGUUGGAUUUGAGUUUGGAUUCCCAGGGGAAGCCAUGAACAAUCAGCUGAAUUCUUCAAAACCCAGAUCUGUAAUUCUUCGGUUUCAGAUCAAUCCG
This 380-nucleotide unclassified non-coding RNA is filed under the name Hevea brasiliensis (rubber tree). The record is from RNAcentral. Lineage: Eukaryota; Viridiplantae; Streptophyta; Magnoliopsida; Malpighiales; Euphorbiaceae.